This 424-nucleotide ribosomal RNA is filed under the name Verrucomicrobiota bacterium. RNAcentral describes it as "Verrucomicrobia bacterium partial 16S ribosomal RNA". It matches the Rfam family "Bacterial small subunit ribosomal RNA", at positions 355 to 776 of the family's 1533-position model. Lineage: Bacteria; Pseudomonadati; Verrucomicrobiota. The record is from RNAcentral.
UGAGGAAUAUUGGUCAAUGGAGGAAACUCUGAACCAGCCAAGUCGCGUGAAGGAUGACGGUCCUAUGGAUUGUAAACUUCUUUAGUAGGCGAGUAAGGAUAGGUACGUGUACCUAUUAGAAAGUAGCCUAAGAAUAAGUAUCGGCUAACUCCGUGCCAGCAGCCGCGGUAAUACGGAGGAUACGAGCGUUAUCCGGAUUUAUUGGGUUUAAAGGGUGCGUAGGUGGCUGAUUAAGUCAGUGGUGAAAAGCUAUGGCUCAACCAUAGUCUUGCCGUUGAUACUGGUUAGCUUGAGUGUAGAUGAUGUAGGCGGAACGUGUAGUGUAGCGGUGAAAUGCAUAGAUAUUACGCAGACCUCCGAUUGCGAAGGCAGCUUACGGGAGCGCAACUGACGCUAAAGCUCGACGGUGCGGGUAUCGAACAGG